GUCGAUUGUAUUUAAAUGAUGAAGUUCAUAAAUUAGUUAAAACUGGUCUUUUAAUAUUUGAUUACAUUAACGUUGUAUUUGAUAUCGCCUUCUAACGAUUUUUUGAGUGCCACUUGUUUGUCCUAAAAAGAUAGAACGCGAGUCUAGCGUACAUAACUAAAGCUGGUACUUUUCUUAAAUGAAAAUCGUUCAAUUUUAAACAAACAAUGAAAAACACAUAUCAUAAAAAAUAAGACAUGCGUGCUGUUUGUUCAUGUCCAUAAAGCAUCUUUAAUGUCAGGUUCAGAGUAGACCAAAUAAU
Molecule: long non-coding RNA, 301 nt
Filed under: Mytilus galloprovincialis (Mediterranean mussel)
Lineage: Eukaryota; Metazoa; Mollusca; Bivalvia; Mytilida; Mytilidae
Source: RNAcentral